Molecule: transfer RNA, 70 nt
Filed under: Urocitellus parryii (Arctic ground squirrel)
Lineage: Eukaryota; Metazoa; Chordata; Mammalia; Rodentia; Sciuridae
Also listed under: 1 other name
Description: Spermophilus parryii (Arctic ground squirrel) tRNA
Rfam family: tRNA
About the family: Transfer RNA (tRNA) molecules are approximately 80 nucleotides in length. Their secondary structure includes four short double-helical elements and three loops (D, anti-codon, and T loops). Further hydrogen bonds mediate the characteristic L-shaped molecular structure. tRNAs have two regions of fundamental functional importance: the anti-codon, which is responsible for specific mRNA codon recognition, and the 3' end, to which the tRNAs corresponding amino acid is attached (by aminoacyl-tRNA synthetases). tRNAs cope with the degeneracy of the genetic code in two manners: having more than one tRNA (with a specific anti-codon) for a particular amino acid; and 'wobble' base-pairing, i.e. permitting non-standard base-pairing at the 3rd anti-codon position.
Source: Rfam by way of RNAcentral
GGGGAUAUAGCUCAGUUGGUAGAGUGCUUGCCUUGCAUGCACAAGGCCCUGGGUUCAAUUCCUAGCACCA